RNAcentral lists this ribosomal RNA (372 nucleotides) under uncultured organism. Its description in RNAcentral is "bacterial SSU rRNA". It matches the Rfam family "Bacterial small subunit ribosomal RNA", at positions 526 to 896 of the family's 1533-position model. The record is from RNAcentral.
CGGAGGGUGCGAGCGUUAAUCGGAAUUACUGGGCGUAAAGGGUGAGUAGGUGGUUUAAUAAGUUAUGUGUGAAAGACCUGGGCUCAACCUGGGGUAGUCAGAUAAGACUGUUAGACUGGAGUAUAGGAGAGGGCAGUGGAAUUUCCGGUGUAGCGGUGAAAUGCGUAGAGAUCGGAAGGAACACCGGUGGCGAAGGCGGCUGCCUGGCCUAAUACUGACACUGAGUCACGAAAGCGUGGGGAGCAAACAGGAUUAGAUACCCUGGUAGUCCACGCUGUAAACGAUGUCAACUAGCUGUUGGUCAUAUAGAGAUGAUUAGUAGCGUAGCUAACGCGAUAAGUUGACCGCCUGGGGAGUACGGUCGCAAGAUUA